UAUAACUCUGGAUCACCAUAGGAUAUGGUUCAACUGUCAAUUCCUAAUAGGCAAUCAACUAUGUGUUCACGUCAAAUAUAAUCGACCAGUGAAUGACCUAAGAAACUCAUUUCUUCUUUCAUUCAUUUGCCCUGUCCAAGGUCUUAGUUUGGUCGUUUAUAAUUCAUGACAAAAUGGAGCUUAAACUCAUUACCAAGAGUUGACAGAUUCCGUCUUGAUCAAUCACUAAUUCUACAAGUAUUUAAUCGUACCCAAUAUCCUU
RNAcentral lists this long non-coding RNA (262 nucleotides) under Nicotiana benthamiana. RNAcentral describes it as "long non-coding RNA (NBEN_LNC004896)". Lineage: Eukaryota; Viridiplantae; Streptophyta; Magnoliopsida; Solanales; Solanaceae. The record is from RNAcentral.